GUAGCUGGGACUACAGGUGCGUGCCACCGUGCCUGGCUAAUUUUUGUAUUAUUAGUAGAGAUGGGGUUUCACCAUAUUGGAUAGGCUGGUCUCGAACACCUGACCUCAUGAUCCGCCCAUCUCAGCCUCCCAAAGUGCUGGGAUUACAGGUGUGAGCCACCGUGCCUGGCCAGAAAAUUUUAAAAGAUCCUUUUUCAGACUAGUUUCUUCUCUCUCAGCACCUGUUGAUGUGGGGUCCCUGAAACCUUAAGGACAAGACUGAGAUCAUAUGUGCAAAUCACCAAUAUGGUUUGGCCUUGGGUGGUUUGUCCAACUGCCUCCAUUUUAGUUUUUGCCAAGAUGUUUAAGAAUAUCCUAAGCAACGGCACCUAAGGGAAAUGGUGAAUUCAAAGAUAUUGAAGCUAUUUUGAAGCCCAGUGGUGGAGAAAGGUCUGAAUAAAGCAAAGGAACAUGCUGUGAGCCAACCAAGGACAGCCUGACUCCAGAAGAUACAUUCUUCCGAAAUAAGACAUAAAGCCUUUUGUCCAGUAACACGAUCAAGGCUACUCUGCAUACAGGUUUGGAAAGUUCUCCAAACAUAUCGGGUUUGUGAAACAAUGUGUGGAACAGCGUGCAGAGAGCACAGUCACUUCUGCAUGUGCACACACAUCCUGCUUAUAAACACGUAGACUCUCUGUAAGGACACACAAGAACCAGCAAGCAGUGGCUGUCUUCAAGGUGGGAAACUGGGAGGCUGGGUAAAGGGAGUGAGGCUGAGUUUUACUAUAUGUCUUUUUGUACUUUCUUCUUCUUUUUUUUUUUUUGAGACAGAGUCUUGCUCUGUGGCCUAGGCUGGAGUGCAGUGGCACAAUCUCGGCUCCCUGCAGCCUCCGCCUCGUGGGUUCAAGCAACUCUCCUGCCUCAGCCUCCCAAGUAGCUGGGAUUACAGGCGUGUGCACCACACCCGGCUAAUUUUUGUAUUUUCAGUAACAACGGGGUUUCACCAUGUUGGCCAGACUGGUCUUGAA
This 1007-nucleotide long non-coding RNA is filed under the name Homo sapiens (human). RNAcentral's name for it is "HSALNT0166439". The record is from RNAcentral. Lineage: Eukaryota; Metazoa; Chordata; Mammalia; Primates; Hominidae.